CAAGGAUAUGACUGCCAUUAUGUCUUCAAGAUCUUCAAGCAACCGCUCAUCGCAUAAUGAAGUAAUAGUUAACGGCCCCAUCCUCUCGUGUUCCAUUUCCGAUAACUCUACCAAAUUGGCCACACCGAUUCAGCUGACCUUUGAACAUGGACAGACAAACUACACCAAUGCUACAUGCAACUUCUGGAUGUUUAGG
Molecule: long non-coding RNA, 196 nt
Organism: Dreissena polymorpha
Lineage: Eukaryota; Metazoa; Mollusca; Bivalvia; Myida; Dreissenidae
Exons: 3
Source: RefSeq, a predicted model, not a curated record